RNAcentral lists this ribosomal RNA (216 nucleotides) under Glomeromycotina sp. Its description in RNAcentral is "partial small subunit ribosomal RNA". The stretch from base 40 to 216 matches the Rfam family "Eukaryotic small subunit ribosomal RNA", at positions 686 to 864 of the family's 1831-position model. The record is from RNAcentral. Lineage: Eukaryota; Fungi; Glomeromycota.
GGGUCAGUAGGUUGGUCGUGCCACCGGUACGUACUGGUCUCACUGAUUCCUCCUUCCUGAAGAACCGUAAUGCCAUUAAUUUUGUGUUGCGGGGAAACAGGACUGUUACUUUGAAAAAAUUAGUGUGUUUAAAGCAAGCUAACGCUUGAAUACAUUAGCAUGGAAUAAUGAAAUAGGACGAUCGAUCCUAUUUUGUUGGUUUCUAGGAUUGACGUA